GGAGUGAUCCGGGUGAUCGCUGCCCCGCCGCAGUCCCUCUGGGAUUUCGGUGGGGGAGAGGAAAGUCCGAACUCCAAAGGGCGGUGUGCUCGCUAACGGCGAGGAGUCGUUCCGGCGACGGGGCGGCUACGGAGAGUGCCACAGAAAAUAUACCGCCGAUGGCCCCUGCGGGGGCUCAGGUAAGGGUGAAAUGGUGCGGCCCUGCGGGGCUUAAUGUAAGAGCGCACCGCCUUCGCCGUGAGGCGGAGGGCAGGGAAAACCCCACACGGAGCAAGACCAAAUAGGGGAAGAGGAGCGGCCCGCUCCGCAACCCGGUCGCGUCUUUGACGCGACCGGGGGUGAACUCCCGGGUAGGUUGCUUGAACCCGCCAGCAAUGGCGGGUCUAGAGGAAUGAUCACCCUCCCGGGGGGCGCAAGCCCUUCGGGUGACAAAAUUCGGCUUACAGGAUCUCUCCUGCC
This 459-nucleotide RNase P RNA is filed under the name Acidobacteriota bacterium. Its description in RNAcentral is "Acidobacteria bacterium RNase P RNA component class A". It matches the Rfam family "Bacterial RNase P class A". Rfam says of the family: Ribonuclease P (RNase P) is a ubiquitous endoribonuclease, found in archaea, bacteria and eukarya as well as chloroplasts and mitochondria. Its best characterised activity is the generation of mature 5'-ends of tRNAs by cleaving the 5'-leader elements of precursor-tRNAs. Cellular RNase Ps are ribonucleoproteins. Lineage: Bacteria; Pseudomonadati; Acidobacteriota. The record is from RNAcentral.